GCGAGAGACCGAUAGCGAACAAGUACAGUGAUGGAAAGAUGAAAAGAACUUUGAAAAGAGAGUGAAAAAGUACGUGAAAUUGUUGAAAGGGAAGGGCUUGAGAUCAGACUUGGUAUUUUGUAUGUUACUUCUUCGGGGGUGGCCUCUACAGUUUAUCGGGCCAGCAUCAGUUUGGGCGGUAGGAGAAUUGCGUUGGAAUGUGGCACGGCUUCGGUUGUGUGUUAUAGCCUGCGAGAGACCGAUAGCGAACAAGUACAGUGAUGGAAAGAUGAAAAGAACUUUGAAAAGAGAGUGAAAAAGUACGUGAAAUUGUUGAAAGGGAAGGGCUUGAGAUCAGACUUGGUAUUUUGUAUGUUACUUCUUCGGGGGUGGCCUCUACAGUUUAUCGGGCCAGCAUCAGUUUGGGCGGUAGGAGAAUUGCGUUGGAAUGUGGCACGGCUUCGGUUGUGUGUUA
Molecule: ribosomal RNA, 454 nt
Filed under: Candida tropicalis
Lineage: Eukaryota; Fungi; Ascomycota; Pichiomycetes; Serinales; Debaryomycetaceae
Description: partial large subunit ribosomal RNA
Rfam family: Eukaryotic large subunit ribosomal RNA (bases 162-454)
Source: RNAcentral